GCAAGUAGGGGCCGUCAACACCGUAGUCGAUCGGGGGUACCGGCAGCGGUCUCGGGGUCUACCAGAAAGAAGGAACAGAGGGGGAACACAAUAAAUAACAGAGCAAACAAAGCAACACAAAGCAUAACAUGGCAAUCCGCGGUGCUAGGGGUGACCUAACGCCGUAUGAGGUGAUAUCGGUGAAUGGGGGAAACAUCUGGGAAAAUAUCCCCGGUGUUUCACAUUUUCGGACAGAUGAAUGGAAGGAGGAAAGUUGCGUGUUCGCUAUGCUAGGGACAUGUGAUGGAUGAACGGGUUGCGUAUCCAGAUUCGUCUAAUUUUUCUGAUCAUCUUCACAUAUAAAUUAUUUCGAUCUGAGUUACGGAUUAUUUUCUAUGGAUUUUCAAAGUUUAUUGAAUUUUCUGAAAUUUCUGCAUUUAUUUAAUCGAAUUGAUCAAGUCAAUUUGACUGGUCAAAAGGGAAGAUGGUGGCCCACAUGUCAUAAGCUAUAUAUAAACAAAUAACUAAAACUAACUUAAAUAAAUCGGGUCCACAUGUAGUAGGCUUAAACUAAUUAAUUAACCAACUGAUCUAAACUAAAUUAGUUUAGACCUAAUUAAAAUAGGCCGGCCACACACAGCUGUGGCACAGCCCACGCGCACACAGCGCACACACACAAUGCUAGGAGUAACUCUAUUCCUUUUAACACAAGAUAGCAUUUUACGAUUUUUGUAGGAUUUAAUCCAAGCAUUAUCUGAAGCGGGUCCAAUUGAACAAAAUGAGGCUUGUUACGUCUACUUUCAGUUCAUAUAAUUUGUACCCAUGUUAGGACUUGUCUUAUUGCUGUUUAGUGGCAGUUUAGAAGGCUAGUCAUUGUAGAAAUACAAAAGCUAGCUCCUGCUACAGUAACUGAAUGUUACUGUAGCCGCGUAGCAUAGCAGCAGACAGCGGCUGCGGGAGCAGCAAAGCUGCAGCGAAGCAAGCGGCAUGCACACGGCGGCGCAUGUUGGGCGCAGGGUGGGUCGGACGCGAGGCAUGGGUGGCCGCGGCGUGAGCAGUGGCACGGGGUGAGCGCGGCCACGGCUCCGGCGGCGACCAGAGCAGACUGCAGCAACGUAGCGACAGCAGGAGGCGAGCGGGGGCGCGGCGCGCCGGCGCGCGGUUAGGGCUCGGCCUAGGGCGUGGGCAGGCCACGGCGGAGCGUAAGGCAGUGAGCGACGCGCGGGGCCGGUGAGCCCGGGAGGAGGCGGACGCGUGCGGGACGCCGGCGUGCGAGCAGCGUGCGGCUUGCGAGUACAGAGGACGACAAUGAGGACCAAACGGGCAUCUCCAGCAACGAUUUGAGCGGCCGCUGCUACCUAACGAAUCGGGCGCGACGUCGCGCGUUGAACGAAAUCAACGACACGAGCAGAGAUGGCCGGAGUUGGCCGAAGCAAUGACGGCAAGCGGCGGCCGGAGCAAGAGCUCAACGGAUACGGGGAUACGCGGGGAGAAUGAUCAAACAAACGGCUCAGGCGGUACCACAGGGACGCCACGAGCACGUUGACGUGCUUGCCUGGCCCUAGAGUACACGAUACUGACGGUGACGAGCUCGACGACGACGACAGAGCUUCGGUGGCGAUGGUAGUAUCAGCAGGAAACAACGAACCAAGUCUAGAGGAGAGGGGUUUCGACCGGGAGCUCACCGUGAGGCGCAAGAAAUGCCGGUGGGAGUUUAGUAGCUGCAGGAGGCGGUGAAUCGUUGGCGGCGAGCUUCGAGCACCGACGAAGAAGACGAAGUCGAUGUCGACGAUGUAGAGCACCUGGCCUCACGUGCGUUGGUGAGGAGGAAGAGGACGUCGAGGUGGAUCUCCUGGGCAUGGUGGUAUGGCGUGGAGCACUCUGUGGCUUC
This 1870-nucleotide long non-coding RNA is filed under the name Triticum aestivum (bread wheat). Its description in RNAcentral is "long non-coding RNA (TAES_LNC005488)". Lineage: Eukaryota; Viridiplantae; Streptophyta; Magnoliopsida; Poales; Poaceae. The record is from RNAcentral.